GACGAACGCUGGCGGCGCGCUUAACACAUGCAAGUCCAACGGAAAGGCCUGCUUUCCCUUGUGGAUUGCGGGUACUCGAGUGGCGAACGGGUGAGUAACACGUGAGUGAUCUGCCCCCAACUUGGGUAUAAGCCUGGGAAACUGGGUCUAAUUCCCGAUAGGACUGCAGGGUGGUGCCUGUGGUGGAUAACGAUUUUCUAGUGGUUGGGGAUGAGCUCGCGGCCUAUCAGCUUGUUGGUGGGGUAAUGGCCUACCAAGGCGGCGACGGGUAGCCGGCCUGAGAGGGUGGACGGCCACAUUGGGACUGAGAUACGGCCCAGACUCCUACGGGAGGCAGCAGUGGGGAAUAUUGCACAAUGGGCGGAAGCCUGAUGCAGCGACGCCGCGUGGGGGAUGACGGCCUUCGGGUUGUAAACUCCUUUCGACCGCGAGGAAGCCACCUGGUUGGAAGGGUGGUGACGGUAGUGGUAGAAGAAGCACCGGCUAACUACGUG
This 494-nucleotide ribosomal RNA is filed under the name uncultured bacterium. Its description in RNAcentral is "partial 16S ribosomal RNA". It matches the Rfam family "Bacterial small subunit ribosomal RNA", at positions 28 to 507 of the family's 1533-position model. The record is from RNAcentral.